RNAcentral lists this ribosomal RNA (465 nucleotides) under Vreelandella stevensii. RNAcentral's name for it is "partial 16S ribosomal RNA". It matches the Rfam family "Bacterial small subunit ribosomal RNA", at positions 338 to 795 of the family's 1533-position model. Lineage: Bacteria; Pseudomonadati; Pseudomonadota; Gammaproteobacteria; Oceanospirillales; Halomonadaceae. The record is from RNAcentral.
CCUACGGGAGGCUGCAGUGGGGAAUAUUGGACAAUGGGCGAAAGCCUGAUCCAGCCAUGCCGCGUGUGUGAAGAAGGCCUUCGGGUUGUAAAGCACUUUCAGUGGGGAAGAAAGCCUUGGGGCUAAUACCCUCGAGGAAGGACAUCACCCACAGAAGAAGCACCGGCUAACUCCGUGCCAGCAGCCGCGGUAAUACGGAGGGUGCGAGCGUUAAUCGGAAUUACUGGGCGUAAAGCGCGCGUAGGCGGUCUGAUAAGCCGGUUGUGAAAGCCCCGGGCUCAACCUGGGAACGGCAUCCGGAACUGUCAGGCUAGAGUGCAGGAGAGGAAGGUAGAAUCCCCGGUGUAGCGGUGAAAUGCGUAGAGAUCGGGAAGAAUACCAGUGGCGAAGGCGGCCUUCUGGACUGACACUGACGCUGAGGUGCGAAAGCGUGGGUAGCAAACAGGAUUAGAUACCCCGGUAGUC